AGCAGCCGCGGUAAUUCCAGCUCCAAUAGCGUAUAUUAAAGUUGUUGCAGUUAAAAAGCUCGUAGUUGAAUUUCGGAAUCUGUCCGUUGGUCGGGCUUCACUGUCCGUACUGGUGUGAUGGGUUCUUACCUUCUGAAUAACCAGCAUGCCAUUCAUUUGGUGCGCUGGGGAAGCAGGACUAUUACCUUGAAAAAAUUAGAGUGCUCAAAGUAGGCUAGCGCCUGAAUACAUUAGCAUGGAAUAAUAAAAUAGGACGGCAUGGUUCUAUUUUGUUGGUUUCUAGGAUCACCGUAAUGAUUAAUAGGGAUAGUUGGGGGCAUUAGUAUUCAAUUGUCAGAGGUGAAAUUCUUGGAUUUAUUGAAGACUAACCUCUGCGAAAGCAUUUGCCAAGGAUGUUUUCAUUAAUCAAGAACGAAAGUUAGGGGAUCGAAGACGAUCAGAUACCGUCGUAGUCUUAACCAUAAACUAUGCCGACUAGGGAUCGGACGAAGUUAAUUUUUUAAUGACUCG
RNAcentral lists this ribosomal RNA (510 nucleotides) under uncultured Glomeromycotina. RNAcentral's name for it is "SSU rRNA". It matches the Rfam family "Eukaryotic small subunit ribosomal RNA", at positions 569 to 1078 of the family's 1831-position model. Lineage: Eukaryota; Fungi; Glomeromycota. The record is from RNAcentral.